AUGUUAUCAAGAAAGGCGGAGGGAUUAGACCCUGUGAAGCCUUAGCAACCCUUUGUUUAAGUCAAAGAAGGUGCUAAAUUCUACUUAAUUUUAGAUUCAUUUAUCUGAAAUUGGAUAGAUAACUC
Molecule: non-coding RNA, 125 nt
Organism: Tenacibaculum dicentrarchi
Lineage: Bacteria; Pseudomonadati; Bacteroidota; Flavobacteriia; Flavobacteriales; Flavobacteriaceae
Source: Rfam